AACUGAGUAGUGUAUAAACAUAUUAAAUUGCAAAUUUAAAGAAGCUUUAGGUCUCGGUAG
RNAcentral lists this transfer RNA (60 nucleotides) under Jesogammarus hinumensis. RNAcentral describes it as "tRNA-Cys". Lineage: Eukaryota; Metazoa; Arthropoda; Malacostraca; Amphipoda; Anisogammaridae. The record is from RNAcentral.